GGCACCGUUCAAAUCACGGUCAAAGUACCAAUUCUCGUCUGAUCAUUGAAGUCAAGUAUGCAUGGUCGUUGAACAUGGUUAGUACUUGGGCAUGGGUGGACCGCUUGGGAACAUCGUGUGAUGUUGUCC
This 129-nucleotide ribosomal RNA is filed under the name Mycetomoellerius zeteki. The record is from RNAcentral. Lineage: Eukaryota; Metazoa; Arthropoda; Insecta; Hymenoptera; Formicidae.